RNAcentral lists this ribosomal RNA (253 nucleotides) under uncultured bacterium. RNAcentral describes it as "partial 16S ribosomal RNA". It matches the Rfam family "Bacterial small subunit ribosomal RNA", at positions 524 to 776 of the family's 1533-position model. The record is from RNAcentral.
UACAGGGGGGGCAAGCGUUGUUCGGAAUUACUGGGCGUAAAGGGCUCGUAGGUGGCCAACUAAGUCAGACGUGAAAUCCCUCAGCUUAACUGGGGAACUGCGUCUGAUACUGGAUGGCUUGAGUUUGGGAGAGGGAUGCGGAAUUCCAGGUGUAGCGGUGAAAUGCGUAGAUAUCUGGAGGAACACCGGUGGCGAAGGCGGCAUCCUGGACCAUUACUGACACUGAAAAGCGAAAGCCAGGGGAGCAAACGGG